CAACGAAAGUCACACUCUGUGAACGCACACGCGCUGCGGCAGCUGACAGUUUCAGUGAACCACGGAGACGAACGGAUUACGGCGCUGGGAACCAACAAAUCAGCGAAAAUAAUAAGAAAAAACACCAAAAACCUAAACAAGAAAA
Long non-coding RNA from Drosophila innubila, 145 nucleotides. RefSeq lists it as uncharacterized. Lineage: Eukaryota; Metazoa; Arthropoda; Insecta; Diptera; Drosophilidae. The transcript has 2 exons. The record is from RefSeq and is a predicted model, not a curated record.